Molecule: ribosomal RNA, 400 nt
Filed under: phytoplankton environmental sample
Lineage: Eukaryota
Description: partial small subunit ribosomal RNA
Rfam family: Eukaryotic small subunit ribosomal RNA
Source: RNAcentral
AGCUCCAAUAGCGUAUAUUAAAGUUGCUGCAGUUAAAAAGCUCGUAGUUGGAUUUGUGGCGCGGCCGUCCGGCGGGGGUCCUUCUAUGGUCUCGUUUGUCCUGGUUUUCGGCCGCUCCUUUCUCGGGUAGAGCGUAAUGGCUGGCAUUAGGUUGUCGGCCGCUUCGCGCCCGUCGUUUACUGUGAAAAAAUUAGAGUGUUCAAAGCAGGCUUAGGCCGUUGGAUACAUUAGCAUGGAAUAAUGAGAUAGGGCCACGGCGGUCUAUUUUGUUGGUUUGCACGUUGUGGUAAUGAUUAACAGGAACGGUUGGGGGUAUUCGUAUUCAAUUGUCAGAGGUGAAAUUCUUGGAUUUGUGGAAGACGAACUACUGCGAAAGCAUUUACCAAGGAUGUUUUCAUUA